UACAGAGGGUGCAAGCGUUAAUCGGAAUUACUGGGCGUAAAGCGCACGUAGGCGGUUUUUUAAGUCAGAUGUGAAAGCCCCGGGCUCAACCUGGGAAUUGCAUUUGAAACUGGAAAACUAGAGUGUGUGAGAGGGGGGUAGAAUUCCAAGUGUAGCGGUGAAAUGCGUAGAGAUUUGGAGGAAUACCAGUGGCGAAGGCGGCCCCCUGGCACAACACUGACGCUCAGGUGCGAAAGCGUGGGGAGCAAACAGG
This 253-nucleotide ribosomal RNA is filed under the name Rheinheimera sp. RNAcentral's name for it is "partial 16S ribosomal RNA". It matches the Rfam family "Bacterial small subunit ribosomal RNA", at positions 524 to 776 of the family's 1533-position model. The record is from RNAcentral. RNAcentral also lists the same sequence under 2 other names. Lineage: Bacteria; Pseudomonadati; Pseudomonadota; Gammaproteobacteria; Chromatiales; Chromatiaceae.